CGGAGUUCCCGUCGUGGCACAGUGGUUAACAAACCCGACUAGGAACCAUGAGGUUGCAGGUUCGGUCCCUGCCUUUGCUCAGUGGGUUAACGAUCUGGUGUUGCCGUGAGCUGUGGUGUAGGUUGCAGACGCGGCUCGGAUCCUGCGUUGCUGUGGCCCUGGCGUAGGCUGGUGGCUACAGCUCCGAUUCGACCCCUAGCCUGGGAACCUCCAUAUGCCGUGAGAGUGGCCCAAGAAAAUGGCAAAAAGACAAAAAAAAAAAAACAAAAAACAAAAUAUGAACCCACCAUUUUAUUUCCGGCAUUCCUAAUUCAUGAUCACGUUCCUUUUGAGAGGAGACUUGUCAUGUUAAUUGGAAGAAUAACAACAAUGAAAGAUACUACCUCUUGAGAAUUACAUGCCAAACAUUGUGCAAAAUGUUGCACAUACAUGAUCUCAUUUAAUCUUCAGAAUGCUCUUCAAGUUCCCAUUGUGAUGCUGUGGGAUUGGCAGCAUCUCUACAGUGCCAGGAUGUAGGUGUGAUUCCUUGCCCGCCACAGUAUGUUAAAGGAUCUGGUGUUGCUGCAGCUAUAGUAUGGGUUGCAAUUGUGGCUCGAAUCUGAUCCCUGGCCUGGGAACUCCACGUGCUGUGGGGUGGCCAAAAAAGAAAAAAAAAAAGUCUUCCCAAUGCUCUGAGAGUAAGCUUAACUACCUUUUUUUUUUUUUUUUUCAUAUCUUCAGAAAUCCAGAAAUCCUCAGAAACGUUAACCAAAACUUCAGCGUAUUGUAUAUAAGCCCUGCUUUUCCAUGAGCCUACGUAUGAAUAUGGCUUAACAUGUAGCACAUUCACAACUGUGAUAGACACUGUCAUGAAGUAUGAAGUAUAUGUGCUCUCCAACCAGUCCAUGAUUUUAAUUCAAUUUUGCAUAAAUUGCAAGAAACAUCUUGAAGAAAACAGGAGGCUCAUUCUGAGACAGAUACAAUAACAUGAGUGGGUUUCACUUGUUUUCCUAAGCCUUAAAGGGAGCUUUGGAAAAUGGGAUAGAUAGGAUUUGUCAGAUGAACAAUGAGAAAUUCAAGGGGUAAAGAGAAAACAUUCACCCUUGCCACCUUUUUUUAAUUUUCUCAUUCCUGUCAAGGACUGGCUGUACAUUUUGCCCAGGAUAGCCUUCUAAUCCUUGUGUACAAAGCUACAUGCAUUCCUUUAUCAAAAACUUGACUCCAUGCUAGCAUCUCCAAGGAGCCCUACCCUGAGGAUAGGUGGGAAGAAUUCAUCCUCUGGUGCCUCUCUACCAACAGCAUGCCCUAAACACCUUUCACUUAGAAUUUUGAACAGUUUGUUCAGAAACAAAAAGAAAAUUAUUAUCUGAUUUGUCAUUCUGUUUUGUGUGAUUGUAAAUUCAGGCAUUCUUCUAUUUUUUACUACAUGAAGGUCAAGAAAUAUUUAGUGCAUUAAAUAGUUAAUUUGGUGGAAUAACAUCUGGAAUAUUUAGAAAUGGCUUGUAAAAGGGAUAGAAUGUACAUUUCUGUAAAAGCAGGCAAUUCCUUCAUCAAUAAUUAGGACAGAGUAUCUUAGCUAUAGUGUGUCAUUGAUGGUGGGCCAUUGUGGAGAGAGAUUCAUUCUUUUAUUGGGAGCCUCCAAGGGAGGGAUGGAGUAAAUUCAAUCCAUACAAAAAUGCAGGGAGGGAGUUCCUGUUGUGGCUUAGCAGUACUGAACCCGAUUAGUAACCAUGAGGAUGCGGAUUUGGAUUCUGCAUUGCUGUGAUGUAGGCCGGCAGCUGCAGCUCUAAUUCGACCCCUAGCCUGGGCACUUCUAUAUGCCACACAUGUGACACCAGCCCCACUGCCCCUGCCCCCCGGAAAAAAAAAAAAAAAAGGGAGGAGAGCAAGGAGCUUCCUUGGGUGGAGAAAAUGACAGUCAUUUUAAGAGAUGAUGGAGGACGUCACAAUUACUUUUUUGUAUCCACCUUUUCGCUCUGUGUAUUCAUAUGGAAUCAGAGAGAAUGAAACAUAGAUGAAGCCUCUACAAAGUACAUUCAUACUGCUUGAGGUCCCAGAAUGGUGCAAAGUGGAACUCUUCCAUUAGAGGAUGCAGGCAGAGAUUCUGGGGGGAGGGCUAUGUGACAUGAGCAUUCAUGCUAGAGGAUAGGUUGCAAAGUUGACCAUCCAGAAGUAAGAAAUUAUUCAAAGACAGAAUGUGGAACUAUUACUUUUAAGAGUUCAUUUGAUAUUAUAGCAUAUAUCUAUAAUGAUGAUGUUUAGAAUCAUAUCAUCCUUAGAUAUUACUAUCCAACAGUUGCACUUAAUCAUAUGUCAUAAAAAUAAGUACCUGUGCCAUAUAUAGAGCAGGAAGGGGAAAGACUGUAUUUGUUUUUUGAUUCGUAGAAUUUUCAAGAACAUGGUAAUAAAAUCAGGGGUGAAUUCAUAAGAAUAACAUUCUGGUCCCUUUCUUGUGGUGAUAGCUAGAAAGUUAUAGAUAAUGCUUAAAUAAAUUCACUUUUUCAGAAAUUGCUAGAAAUUUUACUUUUAAGAGUUGUUUCUGACACACAGGCAUUGAUCUCAGAAGCUAUGGAAUAUACCCUGUUGGUUAGAAAAAAGUCAGGCUCCAUCUAUCACUAUUACAGGAAGAAUGUAUUCUCUGUGGAAUCCUUUAAAGGCUAGGAGUUCACUUCCUCCUCGCGGUGGCAGAGUGGGUUGUAUUUAUCUGGCCAUUGAAUAUGACUCCCCACCAAGUCUGAAGGUGCAUGGAGCACACCCAACAGUCUGCACACAAAGAAAGAUCAAGUUGGUCUGCCCCUCACUUUGGAGCUUGGAGCCCACUGAUCUCAGUAGUGUGUCACUGUCCCUUUUAUGACAACGACUCAUUUCCCAGGCCUGCUGGGUUUCCAGACUGCCUUCCUAUUGUAUGUGUACACAGACUGAUUAUAAGUUCACCACUUCCUUCCACCUUUUUUGUACAGGGUAUUAUCUAUGACAGAUGAGUGCAAUAAAGUGAAUCCAUUUUUUCCCCCCUCUUGCAGGCAGCACAGUGAGUUCUAACCAACAAAGGCAACAUUGAGGUAAAUCUUUAACAGUGUCACCACAUUGACUUUCAUCAUUUUCACCUUUCCUUUCACUGAUUUUUAUCCCUGGAGUUGUAAAACAUAGUUUCACAUUGUGACCGUCCUCUAGUCCUCAGUAGAAUUAGUUACACAGACAAGAACAUACUCUUUUUCAUAGACACUCCAUCACAGCUCAGACUUCAUUGCCUCUCGCUCCACAAAUUCUAUUUUAUAGAUAAAAGCUCAGAGUUUCAAAGGAUGAAAAAUUUUCAAAAAAAGUCAAGCUUUCAUUUUAAAAAGAUAAUGCAAUACUAGGAAACUAUUGGAAAAAUGUGAUGGAAUAUUUAUUUAAUAAGAAGGGAAAUGUUGUCUAUGUAUUAAGAAAAAAUCCAAAACAGUAUAUAUGCGAUUUUAUAAAAAUUUUAUAAACUCCAUACUAUAUACAUACAGAAAAAUAUGUAGUUGUCUGUCUUUUUUUCUUUUCUCUCUAUGACAUAUUUGGUCUCAAAUUAAGAUUUUAAAAUGUGUAAAGGCAAAAAGGAAAACAGAAAAUAGGAAAUAAUGAACACUGCAAGGUUCUUGUUUCAAGCUGUUUAGCCUACAUUUAAAAAAAUUUUGAAAAUCAAAAAUUGGUACAUAUUUAUUGUUUUAGUCAAUGUUUACUGCAAAAAGGAAAGACAUUUCAUGGAAGAGAAGGCAUGUAAGAAACCACCACUCUAAUACCAGAUGGAUUUCUAUUUUUCUUAAGUCACAGGCAGUUUUAAAACAAACGAGGGUGCUUUGUAAAGAAAGCACAUUUGAAGGCCUCAAUGUAGGAAUACUGUGAAAGAACCUACUGGAAAAGGGAGAUACAAAACCCAAAAGCUAAUUUUCCCCAUUUGACAAUUUAAAUAAUUCCUAUCAUUGCAUUGUGAAUUGUUAUACUUUAAAGGACAAUUAUUAUGUUUGAACUUUGGAUUAUUUUUUCCUUCUUUUAUUUAAUCAACUGAGAAGGAACCCCUACUAUGCUGCUUUCAUUAAAAUCUUUCUGUGAUAUCCCUUUUCCACCAUGCUCAGUGGCUGGCAAUCUCUGUAAGAGAACUGAUUACGAAAAGAAACAGGGAGUUCCUGUCGUGGCUCAGUGGUUAACAAAUCUGACUAGGAACCAUGAGGUUGCAGGUUCGAUCCCUGGCCUUGCUCAGUGAAUUAAGGAUCCGGCUUUGCCGUGGGCUGUGGUAUAGUAGGAAACCUCCAUAUGCCAUAGGAGCAGCCCUAGAAAAGGCAAAACGACAAAAAAAAAAAAAAAAAAAGUGAUGGUAAGGUAAAUGGUAAGGACCAAAGAGGGACCUUUGAAAGGUCAUAUUCUGCAAAGUACCUGACUGAAACAGCAGGGAGUCAUGGAGAUUAUAGACAAUUUGGGAGUUGAUUUUUUAAAAAAUGGAAGAAAAGCAAAUAUGUCAUAUUAGCAAAAAUUCUUGGAAGGCAGCUGUACUCACCACUAUACCACCAAUGAAGCAAAAAUUCUUUUAAAGGAAAUUUGAAGCCCAGACAGAGCCAAAUAAUUAAUUUGCAAAGACCAAAAAGUAAAAUUUGGGUAGCUUGAAGAACUUGCUUCAAAUAAUCAGGCCUCACACUAGCUUGUGCCUCUGGGAGUCUUAUACUUAAUUCUAAAUAAUUUGUGACUGAACUAGUCAAGAUUAUAUCCUCAGUACUAGAAUUAGUACGAGGAUGUUAUAAUGCUUGAUAGAUAAAUAAUCUAUCCUUGACAGCCUGGUUUAUCGGAUGUAAGAUGAGAAGACGAUUAGACCUAUUCUAUAUACAUAUUUAAGAAUUAAAAAGGAAUUCCUGCUGUAGCAUAGUGGAUUAAGAAUCUACUGCUCAGGAUGCUGUGGAGGCGUGGGUUCAAUCCUCAGCCGGGCUCAGUGGAUUAAAGGAUCUGGUGUUGCCAUAGCUAUGGUUCAGGCUUAAUCUCUGGCCUGGAAACUUCCAUAUUCUGCAGGUGUGGGCACCAAAUAUAUAUAUAUAUUUGUGAGAUAGGUAUCUAUGUAAAUAAGUUGCAAUUAUAAUAAGUUGAAAUUAGUAGGGUUGCCAAAUUUAGGAAAUAAAAAAUACAGGACUGCCAGUUAAUUUAAAUUUCAGAUAAAAGACAAUUUUUAGUCUAUAUAUGCCUUAUGUAAAAAUACUAUUUACUAUUUAUCUGAAAAUCAAACCUAACUGAGCUUCCUAUAUUUUACUGACAACUCUAGGAUAUAGGAAAAGAAUUAGGGAAUGAUUAAGAUUUGAGAUUAUUGUAAUUUCUUU
Molecule: long non-coding RNA, 5300 nt
Filed under: Sus scrofa (pig)
Lineage: Eukaryota; Metazoa; Chordata; Mammalia; Artiodactyla; Suidae
Description: lncRNA (ENSSSCG00000055009.1)
Source: RNAcentral